RNAcentral lists this ribosomal RNA (252 nucleotides) under uncultured Erysipelotrichaceae bacterium. RNAcentral's name for it is "partial 16S ribosomal RNA". It matches the Rfam family "Bacterial small subunit ribosomal RNA", at positions 524 to 776 of the family's 1533-position model. Lineage: Bacteria; Bacillati; Bacillota; Erysipelotrichia; Erysipelotrichales; Erysipelotrichaceae. The record is from RNAcentral.
UACGUAGGUGGCGAGCGUUAUCCGGAAUUAUUGGGCGUAAAGGGUGCGCAGGCGGCAAGAAAAGCUUAAGGUGAAAGCGUGGGGCUCAACCCCAUAAAGCCUUAGGAACUAGCUUGCUAGAGUGCAGGAGAGGGCGAUGGAAUUCCAUGUGUAGCGGUGAAAUGCGUAGAUAUAUGGAGGAACACCAGUGGCGAAGGCGACGAUCUGGGCUGCAACUGACGCUCAGUCCCGAAAGCGUGGGGAGCAAAUAGG